CAGGGUACAUACCCUCAGGGAAGGCACUUCUGAGUCCUCCUCACCAAGUUGUCCCCCAUGUCCCCUGCCAGGAAUGGGGAUUGGGCCACCAGAACUGUUGCUUCUCUGGGGGAAGAAGCUGUGCACCCAGCCCGCCUCCUUUCCUCGCACAUUUCUGGUCACACGACAGUGAGGAAAGCGUGUCUUCAUGGACGAUCACAGGGCAUUCAUGAGUCAUUCAGCAGGAACAAAGAAGCUUCAGUCUGCAACUUCCACGGGGAAGCAGUUGAAACAGUGUGGGCUCACACGUUUUUUUGAAAUCUGAAAACACUCCUUCGAGGUGCCCUUAAGCACCUGACAGCAGCUGUUCUCCCUUGACAGCUGGAUUCCGAACGUAAACAUCAUUUGUCGGAACGCGUCGGAAUUGUGUGCAUGCAGAUGUAGACGGCUGUGUGGCAGGGGCUGCUGGGAAGCCGCUUUGAGACACUUUCUGCUCGUCUGUCUCUACCAGCCCAGUGUGUGUUCGCAGAUGGAUUCAUUGCGGUGUUUCAUAAGGAGGUCAAAAGUCAAGCCGGCAUCCUUUCUCUUCUUAGGGGCAACUCUCCAACUCUCGGAUUCAAUCCCCAAGUCAGUGUGAGGCGAAGACAUCUAAGUCAAAGGGGCAAGAGGAGAGCAAAGUGAAGUCCUGCAAGUCCCUGAGCCCAAGAUUCACUCAUCCAGGCCCUGGCACCUUCAGCCCGCAGCGACCUGUCUGGGAGCUGCUGCACCUGUCUCCGCUCCCUGCAUACCUGUGCCCACCUGUCCGCACCGGCACGCCUAGGGAGGUAGGGCGUGGUGGCCUUUGACUCAGGUGUAUGCUGCUGCUUAUCCAGGGAUCUGGCACGUUACUUGGCUCCCUUGUGCCUCUGUUUUUACAAGGGAUAAUAAUAAUAAUCCCACCUCAGAGGGUUGUUGUGAAAAUUAAAUAAUGUCAAGCAUGUGAAACACUAGCCCAGCGUCUGGCACAUGCUAAGUGCCUGGCCCAUGUCACCUGUUGUUCAGUCAGUCAACAUGUCACCCAUAGCUUUCCUGGGUCGUUAACUGGACUUCUACUCAAUCUCCUUGUUCCCAUCCUCACCCAAUUCCAAUCUGUCUUUAACUCAGUUAUAAGAGUCAGUUCCCUAGAUUCAUUUACAAGCCUCUUAAUCUCCUUCUUCAAACCCUUUGGUGGUUUCCUGUCACUUCAGGAUACACACAUAAGCUCCUAUGCAUGAUUUACAAUACCCUCCAUGAUCCAUCUCCUCAUUUAUUCAUCCAUUCGUUCACUCCAUCUGUUUCUUUCUUCAUUUAUUCAUUCACUCAUUCACUCGCUCACUCAACACAUAUACACUGUAAGCCUAGUACAUGCCAGGCCCUAUGCUAGUCCACUUGUCUGUCUCCCAGACUGUGAAGUCCUUCCCAGGGUGGGCCAUCUGUAAGGCUUAUUAUGUGCUCAGCGAGCACUGGCUGAAGGAGCAAAGGGCCUAGGUGGACAAUGCUUGCCUGAUGUGGG
RNAcentral lists this long non-coding RNA (1510 nucleotides) under Equus caballus (horse). Its description in RNAcentral is "lncRNA (ENSECAG00000050351.1)". The record is from RNAcentral. Lineage: Eukaryota; Metazoa; Chordata; Mammalia; Perissodactyla; Equidae.